Molecule: long non-coding RNA, 402 nt
Organism: Schistocerca gregaria
Lineage: Eukaryota; Metazoa; Arthropoda; Insecta; Orthoptera; Acrididae
Exons: 3
Source: RefSeq, a predicted model, not a curated record
CAGAGGCGAGGCCGCGGCAGUCCACGCGGUACGGGUAGUCGCACACGCCCAGCUCCUGCCCAGCAGCACACGCAAACAACAGGUUUCGACAGAUUAGUCCGUCGUCUUUGGAAGCCUACAAAAUUUGGAGUAAUAUGAAUCAUAAGAACUUGACCAUACGUUUUUGUGAAGUAUAACAAGGUUACUACAAAAACUUACUUAAUAUUGGUUUAGCGGAAGCCAAGAUCCUUUUCACAAAAGAAAAAUGCGAUAACAUGUCCAAAAAUACUACUUCGCGGUAAUAUAGUCUAAUGGUAAACACUUUCAACACAUCAUCAGAGUACAGGUGGCAGAAUUGAAGAGGAAAGAAGUGGAGGUAAAUGUUUGUAAUCAUGGUUUUUGCACUGUCUACCAAUAAACAUU